GUUUUAAUAAUUUAAUAAAAAUAUUGGUCUUGUAAACCAGAAAUAAGAGCCUCUCUUUUAAAACU
RNAcentral lists this transfer RNA (65 nucleotides) under Prorhinotermes inopinatus. RNAcentral describes it as "tRNA-Thr". It matches the Rfam family "tRNA". Rfam says of the family: Transfer RNA (tRNA) molecules are approximately 80 nucleotides in length. Their secondary structure includes four short double-helical elements and three loops (D, anti-codon, and T loops). Further hydrogen bonds mediate the characteristic L-shaped molecular structure. tRNAs have two regions of fundamental functional importance: the anti-codon, which is responsible for specific mRNA codon recognition, and the 3' end, to which the tRNAs corresponding amino acid is attached (by aminoacyl-tRNA synthetases). tRNAs cope with the degeneracy of the genetic code in two manners: having more than one tRNA (with a specific anti-codon) for a particular amino acid; and 'wobble' base-pairing, i.e. permitting non-standard base-pairing at the 3rd anti-codon position. The record is from RNAcentral. Lineage: Eukaryota; Metazoa; Arthropoda; Insecta; Blattodea; Rhinotermitidae.